This 443-nucleotide ribosomal RNA is filed under the name uncultured bacterium. RNAcentral's name for it is "partial 16S ribosomal RNA". It matches the Rfam family "Bacterial small subunit ribosomal RNA", at positions 337 to 795 of the family's 1533-position model. The record is from RNAcentral.
GCCUACGGGAGGCAGCAGUGGGGAAUAUUGCACAAUGGGCGAAAGCCUGAUGCAGCAACGCCGCGUGAAGGAAGAAGGCCUUCGGGUCGUAAACUUCUGUCCUUGGGGAAGAAGAACUGACGGUACCCAAGGAGGAAGCCCCGGCUAACUACGUGCCAGCAGCCGCGGUAAUACGUAGGGGGCGAGCGUUAUCCGGAUUCACUGGGUGUAAAGGGAGCGUAGACGGCCAUGCAAGCCAGGGGUGAAAGCCCGGGGCCCAACCCCGGGACUGCCCUUGGAACUGCAUGGCUGGAGUGCGGGAGGGGCAGGCGGAAUUCCUGGUGUAGCGGUGAAAUGCGUAGAUAUCAGGAGGAACACCGGCGGCGAAGGCGGCCUGCUGGACUGCGACUGACGUUGAGGCUCGAAAGCGUGGGGAGCGAACAGGAUUAGAUACCCCAGUAGUC